GUCCUGCAUCAACUCAUGACUCACCAGAGCUUUUUGGUUCUUGGACACGACUCUGCUGCUGAACUCCUGCUGGUUCCUGUUCUGGUUUCCCAUCUGGACUCACCUUCCAUGUUUGGAUUCCCACCUCUGUUCCUAUUCUGUCUCCAACCUGUGGAUGUUCUGUUCUGUGUUCCACCAUCUCCAGAGUUGCCUGAUUCUGCUACCUUCAGUUUAGUUUCUUCCCAUUCACACCUGAGCAGCUGUUUCAUGACCUGAACUCUGCAGAAUCAGACGGAGGAAAGAAGAACUUCCGUCAACAGAAACGCUGAGGAGAAGCUGAACGUGAAGGAGAGUUCUGAGGAUCGUGAAGACGUUCUGAAAGAUUGAAGCGUAGAAACCAUCCACAAGCUGGACCAAUUAGCUCAAAGUGACGUCACAGAACUUUUUACUAGGAGAUAACAGAAUAUUGUAACGGGCUGAUAUUGUUGUUGAUGUUGAGGUUUCAGUGUUUAUUGUUCAGUUCCAGAUUUACCUAAUGUCAGUGAACGUGCCAUGUUUAGUUAGCUCACCUCUGAUUGGCUGAGAGUCAGC
Long non-coding RNA from Amphiprion ocellaris (clown anemonefish), 570 nucleotides. Lineage: Eukaryota; Metazoa; Chordata; Actinopteri; Pomacentridae. The record is from Ensembl.